RNAcentral lists this ribosomal RNA (443 nucleotides) under uncultured bacterium. RNAcentral describes it as "partial 16S ribosomal RNA". It matches the Rfam family "Bacterial small subunit ribosomal RNA", at positions 338 to 795 of the family's 1533-position model. The record is from RNAcentral.
CCUACAGAGGGCAGCAGUGGGGAAUAUUGGGCAAUGGAGGAAACUCUGACCCAGCAACGCCGCGUGAAUGAUGAAGGUCUUCGGAUUGUAAAGUUCUUUUCUAAGGGAAGAUGAACGUGAUGGUACCUUAGUAAUAAGCCUCUGCUAACUCCGUGCCAGCAGCCGCGGUAAUACGUAGGCGGCAAGCGCUAUCCGGAAUUACUGGGCGUAAAGGGUGCGUAGGUGGUUUGAUAAGUUAGUAGCGUAACUCCGAGGCUCAACCUCGGAACUACUACCCAAACUGUCGGACGUGAGUGCAGGAGGGGCAGGUGGAAUUCCUGGUGUAGCGGUGGAAUGCGUAGAUAUUAGGAGGAAGACCAGUGGCGAAGGCGAGUUGCUGGACUGUAACUGACGCUGAGGCACGAAAGCGUGGGGAGCAAACAGGAUUAGAUACCCCAGUAGUC